This is an RNA transcript of Amblyraja radiata (thorny skate), 7152 nucleotides long. It is a transcript of the gene named kinesin family member 17, with no coding region annotated. The record is from RefSeq and is a predicted model, not a curated record. NCBI's taxonomy places the organism in Eukaryota, Metazoa, Chordata, Chondrichthyes, Rajiformes, Rajidae. The transcript has 15 exons.
AUCUGUGGGUGGGUGCGGGUUUAAAGGUACAUUUGCGAUACCUGUGCAAGAACCAAGAACCAAAGGGCGGCAUCAUGAAGCUCUGCGGCCUGACUCUGUUUCCAUGGUGACCGAGGCCGUCCGAGCCGGAAAUGACGCACCUCGGCGGAACUUAGAACCUCGGGGCAGUCACUCGUUGCCCGGCAACCGACGCUCGGCUGCAGGAGCCUGGUCCCGGGAAUGGUCGAGUGUUACCGGGAUGGGGAACCUGUAAGGAAAGGACGUUAAAUAAGUAAAACAAGCUCGACAUCGCGGGGAGGGGAGGAGGAGAGGAGGGAAUGGCUUUGGAGACGGUGAGGGUGGUGGUACGCUGUAGACCGAGCAACAACCGGGAGAAGGACCUGAACUGCAAGGUGGUGGUCUCCAUGGACAGUACCCGCGGCCAGUGCUUCAUCCAGAAGCCCGGGGCCCUCGGAGAGCCGCCAAAACAGUUCACUUUCGACGGCGUCUAUUACAUAGAGAGUACCACCGAGCAGCUGUACAACGAGAUCGCCUAUCCGCUGGUGGAGGGUGUCACUGAAGGCUACAAUGGAACAAUAUUUGCCUAUGGCCAGACAGGAAGUGGAAAAUCAUUCACUAUGCAAGGCAUUCCUUCUCCAACAUCGCAACGAGGAGUUAUUCCCAGAGCUUUUGAACAUAUAUUUGAGAGUAUCCAGUGUACCGAAAAUACUAAGUUCCUCGUGAGGGCUUCAUAUUUGGAGAUUUACAAUGAAGAGAUCCGUGACCUUCUGGGUAAAGAUACCAAACACAAACUGGAGCUCAAGGAGCAUCCAGAGAAAGGCAUUUAUGUGAAGGACCUCUCCAUGCAUACUGUGCACAGUGUCACAGAGUGUGAAAAAAUCAUGGACAUUGGCUGGGGUAAUCGAGCUGUGGGAUAUACCCUCAUGAACAAAGAUUCAUCUCGUUCACAUUCUAUAUUCACCAUUCACUUGGAGAUGUGCUCGAUUGAUGACAAUGGGAAAGACCACAUCCGUGUAGGAAAGUUGAAUCUGGUCGAUUUGGCAGGCAGCGAAAGACAGGCAAAAACUGGAGCAACUGGAGAUCGGCUAAAAGAAGCUACUAAAAUCAAUCUGUCACUUUCAGCGCUUGGGAACGUUAUUUCUGCAUUGGUGGAUGGCAGAUCAAAGCAUAUUCCAUACCGUGACUCCAAACUGACACGGAUGUUGCAGGACUCCCUUGGGGGUAACACCAAAACUCUGAUGGUAGCAUGUCUGUCGCCAGCUGACAAUAAUUAUGAUGAAAGUCUUAGCACUUUACGGUAUGCCAAUAGGGCAAAGAACAUCAAAAACAAGCCCAGAAUUAAUGAAGAUCCAAAGGAUGCUUUACUCAGAGAGUAUCAGGAGGAGAUUAAACAAUUGAAGGCACUCCUAGCUGGACAGCUUGAUUAUCUAAGUAAUGUCCAAAUGACUAAUACCCAAGCAACCAGUCAAUCUCCUGAAGUCCAUGCUGAGAUAGAAAUUGAAAAAGAAAAUAUCAGACAGGAAUAUGAGCAGAAGUUAUUAAAGAUCAAAGCAGAUUAUGAAGCAGAGCAGAAGUCCAAUGUGAAACUACAAGAAGACAUUGAAAAACUAAGAAGUUCUUUUGAACUGAAGAUGGCACAUGUUGAAGCCAUUGAUAAGGCCACUGAUGCACCUCCAUUUGAAGAAAGCACUUGUGCUGUGGAGAUAACUCAGCCAUUUAGUGUUGAAUUAGCGGAUGUGAGUGAAGUAGCACAGAAGCUAGAUGUUGCUAUGUUGAUAGAACCAGAGCCUGAAAUAGCUCAACAAGACACAAGCAACAGGAACGAUACGGAGCCUAAUGAAGAGCAGCAUUCUCUUGAAGUGCCUCUAGUAAAGGGAGAAAUUGCAGAGGAAUAUUCUACAGCUGCUUCGUCACCUGCCACCUUAGACCAGGAAGAGGUACUUGCAAGGCUGAAGAUGUUGGAGAAUGAGGUUGUAGGGGGAGAACAAGCCAAAAAUACAGAACUGAAGGAGAAAAGGAAACGGCGCAAGACAUAUGCUGAUGAGAGGAAGAAUCAGCUUGCAGAAGCACUGAAACACACAGACAGGGAUGAUCCUACUAUCUUGAUCAAUGUCUAUGAAUCUAUUCAAGAUGAAGUUCGCGCAAAAAGCAAAAAUAUUGAAAACUUGCAGAGAAAGCUAACGGUUGCUGAGAUAGAAAUUUCUGAUCUGCAAUCUGAGUUUGAAUUUGAGCGUAUUGAUUACCUGUCUACCAUAAGGAGGCAGGAGCGAGAAAACAUUCUACUGCAGCAAGUCCUAGAAAGAAUCCAGCCUUUAAUUCGGCGAGAAUGUAACUACAGCAAUAUAGACAAAAUAAAACGGGAUUGUGUUUGGGAUGAAGAAAGUGGUUGCUGGAAACUACCAGAAACAGUUCUUCAAAAGAUUACACUUCCGUCUGCUGGCUCCAGCACCGCAUCAAAUAAGCAAGGGGUGAGAGUCUCUGCCAAUGAUACUGGAGAUUACUUAAUGGAAGAAGAUCGUUACAGACAAAUGCUCAACCGUAGUGAUAGUGAGAAUAUUGCCAACAACUACUUCAGGUCGAAGCGUGCCAGUCAGAUCUUGAAUACGGAUCCUGCUCGAAGUCUCAUGCAUACACAGACGUCAGUGCAUAGCGUAUCUCUUAACAAUGGGUCACCUUCCCAUGCUGUCUCCAAUCUAAAUACAGUGUCUCCAACCCAGCCGCCUGAUAUGCCCACGCCAAGGCCUUUCCGUUUGGAAUCACUGGAACUACGUGCGCCAUCUGCCAAAACCAAACGCAAGAAAAACAAAAACAAUCCUUUCAUGGACAUUGCCUGAUGCAUAAAGGUUACAAUAAAGUAUUGUUUUUAAGGUAUUUGUUAUAUUUUCUCUCCCUUAUGCUUUUAUUACUACAAACAGCAUUCUGGCAUGAGCUUCUACCAAUGCUGAUGUAACACCAACUGCUCAGAAGUGUCCAAGAAAAUUAAUGCUACUGUUCCAAGGCUUAUUUUUGUGAGAUAGUGUCUUACUCGAACCUCCUGACAAAUGCUUGUCUGUAAUAGAGAAGUUCUGUUAUUUCACCAUUGCGACCUGUAUCCUACUGUUCUCUAAUGCAACAAAUGGCUGUUCCAAAGCAGCAUACAACAAUGUUAUUUAUUGCUAUUCUUCAAUAAUUUGAAUAUAUAUAACGUUAAACUACUGAUGACAAUUUUCCAUGUAGUUCAUAUCAUCAAAAGCAUAUUUUAUCAGUUCCGAAUGUCACCAAAUCAUUGUUUAUUAUAAUAAUCUGUUUCAACUCCCAUACUACUCUUUAAUUACUUGAACCCAUUUAUCACAAUCCACUAUAUCGAAGAAAUCCUGAUUUGUUUUUAUUUAUUCUUUCAAACCAGACACUUUUUCAACUUCCAUUUCCCUCUCAAUGAUUAAUAACUGAAUUGAUGCACCUUAUUUUCUCCCUACUUUUCUGAAGACAUUUGUGUAAUUUUAAAUUCUGGAAAGACAGUUGUCUGCAUGUCUGAUCAAGUUACUGUCUCUUAAAUUUCAAGACUUUCUCUUUAGUUUGUCUUUAUAUAAUAUAAAUGAUUACCUUCGUCAUUACCUCUAAGAACUCAAAUUUUAAUACUUAAUUGAGUAAUAAAGCAGCCAAAUUUCAAAAAGGUUCUGAAAUGUGUCUAUUGUUCCAAAUGUUGUCCAACACUUUAAUAUUAUUCCCAUAUCUGGAAAUAUUUUUAACAUAGUCAACAUUGUUUCGCAAUGUACCAUAGAUUCCCACUUGAUAAAACAAUGAUUUAUUUUUACAUCACAUAAAUGCACAAAGCCUUACAAGGAGUUAAAAGAACAAGGUAAUGAGGUAAUUCCACCUCGCUUUUAGCCUCUAGACACAAAUUUAUUGCACUUUCUUUAAUAGGAGUACUAUGACCUAUAGUUUGUCUGAACUUUCUUCAACAAACUCUUCAGCCUCUAUACUCAUGGUUUUGACAUUAAAAUGCACUGCAGUAUUCUAAUCCAACAUCUUUUACCAGGAGCUCCAUUUGUAUUUUCUUUCAUUAUCCAAUCUACUUAAUUUAUGUGUCUCUUACUGAUGUCCUGCCCUGUUUCAGGUUAAAUUGUGAACGUAUCUUAAACCUGUUAAAUCAUUGUAAACAAUUCUACUUUUCACACAUUUCAAACACUGUGGAAGUCCUGCAAAUUAUGUUGUUUUAAUGGAAUCAAAAGUGCUGGUUGAAACUGGCACCUAUAUUAAAAAUAAAGAUAUAGCCUGAACAGCAGGGUAAUGUUCACAAUAUUGAGGCUGGUGAAUACAAAAAUUAUCAAUGUCAAUGCCGUCUGCUGCAUUUCUUCAGUGAACAGGAGCAGAGAGUCUGGUUGCUUAUUUGCUGCCUUUAGUAAUGUCACACAAAUAGUGCUGAUAGCAUAACCCUUUGCAAAUAUCACUCUUGGCUGUAAUUGGUGUCACUGUGUUCUUGUACUUGUUGAAGCAGAUAAACAGAAACAAGCAUUUUACAUUCAAAAUUAACAGUCAGUCACUCUCUGGGUUCCCCUUUGAUUCCAAUAAUUGUUUCUUGGUUCAACUAUAGAUUUUGCAGAUAAACAUUUUGUAUAAUGUAACACUGAACUCUAGGUUCCUAAAUUUGAUCAUCAGUUUAAUCUAAUAAAUCUCAGCUGAGGUGAAUUUGGAGUGACAAAAUUAGUUUUAGUGGCCUUAGGUUGAGCUAAACUGCUAUCAAUUAUUCUUGUGUGGAUGUCGAAUGGGAAUAUGCAUUAGAUUUGGCACUGUGUUGUUCAGUGAAACAGUAUAUUGUCACAUAAGGUGAGGUGCUUAGGGAAGUUGGCAUCCAUGGAUCUGUACACUCGGCCAGAGAAUAAUUUGGAGAGCCUGACUUCAGAUUGUACCGAUGCAGGAAUAACAUCUCAAGCUUGUCCCCCGUCCCCUGCCCUGAAUACAUUGUACAGAAUUUGAUUGAACCGAUUGAUUUGCAAAUAUUAUUCAAGCUUGGUUUGACAGGAAAUCUCACUGCCCAAAAUUCAUACUAAGCCAAAUAGAGCAGAUAGCUGCGUUAGCUAACCUGAAAUAAGUCAGAGAUGUUAGACUUUUAUAAUUGGUCACAGCUCUCCAGGUGAGGGAAUGGCUAAUUAAAUGUAUUAACACCCCAUGAGCAUGUGUGCAAAUGCUUAAUGGGUAUUGGAUCAAUUCUCUCUCUCUGUACUUUGUGCUUGAGCAGAUUUGGUGGUUGCUGAUACAUUUGGGACGGUCCUCAGAACGUCCAUGAGUCCAUGAAAUUAGGUAGGAAGAAAUUGCAGCUAGGAAUUGGAAUAUGAGAAGUAUAUGUGAACAUUCAAGUUGCAGGAAAAUAUUUUUUUUUAAUUAAUUACACUGAAAGUUGAACAAAGCAAUCAAAUUCUAUUAAGGUUUGCUUUUGAAGACAAAAAUAUCAGAAAUAUAACUAACAAUCCUUCAAUUGGGACUGUUUUUCUUAAAUAAUGAGAGAUGAGUAUAAGUUUUGGUGAAUGAAAUUUAAAUGCUGUUAUUUUGAAUGUAAAAUAAGGUUAGGCGGAAAUGAGCAUAAUUGUUCUCAUAAAUUUGUAAAAAAAAUCUUAUACUAUGUAUUCAUGACAGAACUAAUUUAUGUAUUAUGUUAAUCGAACUAAAUUAUUUGUUUUGUUUUUAGUAUCUGUGCUGUUCUGUAAAUAUCCAGAAUAAAGUUUAAAGAGAAACGAGCUGAUUGUUUACUUCAGGAAAGGAAAGCGGAGGGACAGAGCAGCUGUAUUCAUCGAAGGGAUGACGGCAGAGAGAGUCAACAGCUACAAGUUCCUAGUGUAGAUAACACUGGCGAUCUGGGCCCAGCACACUGAAGCAAUUGCAAAGAAUGCUCACCAACACCUGUGCUUGCUCAGAGGUUUAAGGAGAUUUGUUAAGUCCCCAAAUAGUCUAUUGAAUUUCUAAAGAUGUACCAUGGAGAGCAAACUGGCCCAGCUCAGUAAUUUGAAUUCUCAGGAAUGAAGGAGGCUGCUGAAAGCUGCAGACAUUGCCAGUCCAUCAUGGUCUCCCCACCAUCCAAGGGAUCCACAUCAAGCGUUGCCUCAAGAAAGCAGCUAAUAUCAUCGAAGAACCACACCACUCUAGUCACAUUCUCAUCUCGCCGUUGGGAAGAAAAUACAGGAGCCUGAAAAUCAUUACAUCCAGGUUCAAGAACUUCAUCUAUCAACCACCCUGCACCACCCUAACCAGAACUCUUACUACCUCAGCACCAAACUAAUGUAGACUUUGCAUUACCAAAUUUAUACUAUGUACUUUGGCUUGUACCAUCAUGGUCUGGUUUACCUAAAAUAAUAUAAUUUAUUGUAUAUUGUGCUUAACGUGCCCUUAAAAGCUGCAAAGUAAGGAUUUCAUUGUUCCGGUCUCAGAGUAUAUGACACAUAUAGGCUCCUGACUCUCUUGAAGUUUGAAGGCAAAUAACCCACAGGGGGCACUCUUGUGUUAUUGUAGAUGUUCAACACCCAGAACCUGGAGCAUUCCUUAUCAUUUACACUUUUUUCUUAAAUUAAAUAUAUUUAAUCCUUAAACAUGGACACUCUUUCAAUAAAAUGGGAAAAUAGUGAGCAAAUCCUUACAAAGAUCAAUGAAAAGUGAAACUAUGCCCUGCUAUGCAUAAUUUUAUAAUCCCCUGGAACAAUUUACUGGCAUCAGGUUAACCCAAACCCAAGAGAUCUCAGAAUCUCCUUCCUGCAAUAAAGCCACAGAUGAUGCUCCCAGUGAAUCACUUUGUCAGUGCUUAGAUUUCUUCGCUAAAGAACUAAGGAAAAGUAUUGACUGCUGGUCCUCAGAUCUCUGGGCCCUAUGUCUGAUAAAAACCCUCAAAUGGAAUCCCCUUUUGUAAGGUUCGGCUGAGCUGUGUCCUGUCUGACAUUGGUCAUCAUCCCUCAAAAAUGUAUUUGCAUCUUAAAAAUGUUGGCACUAAUCUUGCAAAAAUUCAGAGUAAACUUGUGUUUUCUACAUUUUCUUUACAUCUUGUAUAUGCUUACAGAAAAUCAAAAUAAAUGUUGGACAAUGUAUGCUUCUUAACAGAUCUGCUUUUUAAUCUUACUUUAAGUAAUUUCUCAAGAAGUGUAAUAAGUACAUUUGUAUAUUUGCAUGUAAAUUAUUUGUAUAAAAAUG